RNAcentral lists this long non-coding RNA (351 nucleotides) under Setaria viridis. RNAcentral's name for it is "long non-coding RNA (SVIR_LNC000667)". The record is from RNAcentral. Lineage: Eukaryota; Viridiplantae; Streptophyta; Magnoliopsida; Poales; Poaceae.
UUGGAGGUAUGCCCUAGAGGCAAUCAUAGAGAUGAUGAUAUUCCAUUUGUAUCCAUGAUUUGUAUAAUGUGUUCAUUGAAUAUCCAUUAAAGGCUACUUGAAUUGAUUUGCAAUUAUGUGAAUUGUAUGUGAAACUCUUUACUUGUAUGGUUAUUCUAAAAUUGUCCCUAGUCGGAGUUCAUGUGAGGACACACAUGAAUAUUAGACUAGCACAUGUAUUAGUUGAUGACUAUGUUUCACAAGUCAUGGACAUGGAGAUGUUGAACUAAUAAUGUGGACACAUGUGGAGACAUGUGCUAGGACUGACCCAACACGAGAAGUAGUUCUCUCUUUAAACAACAUACACGCUUU